GACGAACGCUGGCGGCGUGCUUAACACAUGCAAGUCGAGCGGUAAGGCCCUUUCGGGGGUACACGAGCGGCGAACGGGUGAGUAACACGUGGGUGACCUGCCCUCAGCUCUGGGAUAAGCCUGGGAAACUGGGUCUAAUACCGGAUAUGACUCCAUGACGCAUGUUGUGGGGUGGAAAGCCUUGUGCGGCUGAGGAUGGGCCCGCGGCCUAUCAGCUUGUUGGUGGGGUGANGGCCUACCAAGGCGACGACGGGUAGCCGGCCUGAGAGGGCGACCGGCCACACUGGGACUGAGACACGGCCCAGACUCCUACGGGAGGCAGCAGUGGGGAAUCUUGCGCAAUGGGCGAAAGCCUGACGCAGCGACGCCGCGUGAGGGAUGACGGCCUGGUGUAACU
Molecule: ribosomal RNA, 397 nt
Filed under: uncultured bacterium
Lineage: Bacteria
Description: bacterial SSU rRNA
Rfam family: Bacterial small subunit ribosomal RNA
Source: RNAcentral